Sphaeramia orbicularis (orbiculate cardinalfish) is the source of this 140-nucleotide long non-coding RNA. RefSeq lists it as uncharacterized. The transcript is spliced from 4 exons. The record is from RefSeq and is a predicted model, not a curated record. NCBI's taxonomy places the organism in Eukaryota, Metazoa, Chordata, Actinopteri, Kurtiformes, Apogonidae.
UGAUUGUUGCAGUGAAAGUUGGUUACGAAGAAAAUACAUCCAUUUGUGUGUUUCUUUCAUCACACUGCUGCACUUUUUUGUUGUGUUUACCUCUAUCUUGUUGAUGAUGCAAACAGAAUUAUGGGAGAUUUCUCAUAUCC